GUUUAUUUUAUUAUUUGUUUAUUUUAUCAUUUAUUUAUUUUACUAUUUAAUUUAUCAUUUGCUUAUUAUAUUUUAUUAUUUGUUUUUGUUGUUUUUUUUUUGUUUUUGUUUUUUUUUUGUUUUUGUUUUUUUUUUUUUUUUUUUUUUUUUUUUUUUUUUUUUUUUUUUUUUUUGUUUUUGUUUUUUUUUUGUUUAAAAACCUUAUUAUAUAUUAAAGAUGAUAAAAAUGCAUACAACACAGUUAUAAAUAUUAUGCAUAUACUCUCGCAUAUGUUUAAAUAAUUAAAUCUGUUUAUGUAUGCAGAUAUAUAUUUAUUGUAUGAUCGGUCUUAACAUCAUAUCUACAAAAAAAAAAAAAAAAAAAAAUAAAAUAAAAAAAAAGAAUGCAUCACAAAUUAUAUAUUUAUCACAAAAUUAUUACAAUUUAUUAGACAGGUUAAUUGUUAUGUCAAUGUACUUACAACAAAGGAAAAGUUAAAAAUAAAAGAUAUAUAUGUGCAUGUUAAAAUAUGCGCUACUGCAUAUGAUAUUGCAAAAAGAAUAAAAUUUUUAAAUUAUAUAUAUAUAUAUAUUAAAACAUAUUAUAAACAAAAUGAUAAGAAUAAACGGUAUGUUGUACUACCUUUCUUUAUUUUUGAUUUUGGUACUAUUUGUGAGUAAAAAUGGAGUAGGAGGCAAAGCGUUUCAAGGCGAAUUUAGUAUAAAUAAGAAAGAAAAAAUACAUUAUUUAACAAAAUUUAGUUGUAAUAUCGGUACAUGUGAAUUUAAAAUUAAAAUGAAACUGAAAGACAAUAUCUUUGCAAAGUUGCUUGAUACUUAUCAUACAAUGAAUAACAAAGAAUCAGGUAGUAAUAGUAUCAGUAAAAGUAGUAGUGAAAAAAAACCAUUACUAAUGAAUUUUGAUAAUGCAUAUUAUGUAUUAACUAACACUACGGUAACGCCUAGGGGUCAAAGAAUUACUUUAGUACAGGAUAUUGAACAAAAAUUAAUAAAAAAAAAUAAUAAAUGUUAUUCGCUAGGUAAUUUACGUCAUGUGUAUAAGUUUAAUAUACCUUUUUAUUUCAAAUAUAAUGAUUUAGUAAACAUAAAAACAUACAGCUUAAAAAAUUUUUUAAACCCUAAGUACUCUUUAUCACUAUAUUCUAUUUUUAAUGAAUUAAAAAAUAACAAAAAAUUACAAUCCGAAAUUUUGAAUAAAAGUGUUCUGCUUAAUAAUAUUAAUGAGCGUUAUGUAUAUCAAAAUAUAGAUGCAAAAACAUUUAAUCGUGUUCAUGUAUGGUUUUUAAUGUUUGAUGAUUGUUUUGAUACUUUUAUUUAUAAUUUAAAAAACAAUAUAAAAUCGAAAUUAGCAUAUUGGGAAUAUUUAAUAGAAGCAUCUAAAAAUACUGACAUAUCUAAUUUAUCAUUUAUAGAUCUAAUAAACACUGAUUCAAUAACAGAUGGCGAUGACCGAUUUUAUACCACUUAUAAUUUUGAUAAAAAUGCUCUUUUGUACAACCCUAAAAGACUUUUAUUUUUAGAAAAUAAAUACUCACGAAGUGAAAUAGCCGAUAUAUCUUUUUUUAUUAAAUUUCAUAAUUUUAAUAAUAUGAAAAACUUUACCAAUAUGUAUAAUAAUUUAUAUAAAAGCGGAUUUUAUGAACGAGUAAUUGAUUAUAUAUAUGAAAAUGAAGGAUUUAAAGUAGAAUAUGAAGUAAAUAUAUUACAAACGAAUAAUUCCCAUUUCUCAUACGAACUUUUAUAUUCUCCUUUUUUUACUUUCAUUUUAACUAUUUUAUAUAUUCUUCUAAUUUUAAAAUAUGGAAAUAAAAUUAUUCAAAAUGUACUAUCACCAAAUUCAAAAAAAAGACAUGCAAUGGUUAUAAGUGUAGGUGUUGUAAUGUGUACAUAUUUAAUAGCCAACUCUCUAUUACUUAUACAUUUAUUAGUAUAUUCGAGGAAUGGUGUUGGAAUACCACUGUUUAAAAUGUCUUAUGACAUAUUAAAUUUUUUAUCUCAAAUUAUUAUGUGCACUAUGCUCCUCUCAUUAAGUUAUGGCUUAACCAUUUUCGAAGCAUCCUUUAACAUUUACACCAGAAUUAAAGUUAUAUUUAGCGUUAUUACUUCUUUCCACAUUGUUUUAGUCAUACUGGAUAAUACUGCAAUAAGUGAUUCCUCAUCUAAAUUUUUUGAUAAUGAUAAUAUAACAGGUUAUAUAAUACUAGGGUUAAGAGUAUUAUUAGCUGUGAUAUAUCAUAUUAAUUUAAAUAGUUUGUUUCUUAAGGCUAAAAUUCCACAAAUACGUAGCUUUUUAAAAAAAAUAUAUGUAUAUGGUUUAUUUUAUAUAUUAUCGUUUCCUAUCAUUUUUUUGGUAUGUUAUAUGUUUGAUACAUAUUGGAGACAAAGAUUUAUGUUAUUCGGAACAGCCUUUUUACAAUUCCUCGCUACUUAUUUUAUUACGAAAAUGUUCUUAACAAACUCAGAAUAUUUUAAAGUUUCAGACAUGUCAGCUAGCGAUUUACCUGGGGCUACCUCUAGUUGGUUUUUUACUCAGAAAGCUCACGGAUGUUAAAAAUAUACCCAUUAUAUAUAUAUAUAUUUAUAUAUAUAUAU
This 2592-nucleotide long non-coding RNA is filed under the name Piliocolobus tephrosceles (Ugandan red Colobus). RNAcentral describes it as "lncRNA (ENSPTEG00000010198.1)". The record is from RNAcentral. Lineage: Eukaryota; Metazoa; Chordata; Mammalia; Primates; Cercopithecidae.